AAUCUUGGGCCAGGGAUUUAGCUCAGUGCUUCUGCCACCUGCCUUUAAAGCGCAAGGUCCUGAGUUCAAUCCCCGGUACAAAAAAUAUAUAUAUAUAUGGAACCUACUGGGAGGAAUUCAUGUCACUGGAUGUCCCCGGGGGAUGUAAAGGUCCCAGCUCAGUUCUCUCUUCACUUCCUGGCUGCUGUGAGGUGAGCAGCCUCCUCUACCACCAUGCCCAACAUGAUGAGUGCCCUGGCUAUGGCCCUCUAAGCACUGACCUCUGAAAUGAGGAUCCAAAACACAUUUUUUCUCCUUUAUAAGUCACUUGUCUCAGGCACUUUGUCACAGUAAUGGGAAGUUGACCAACAUAGAAAAUAGGUACUGAGAAGUAGGAUUCUUGCCGUGACUAUACUCAACAAUGUGGUUCAACAGCCUUUGGAACUGGAUUAUGGGAAGUGUUUGGGAAAGGUUGAGGAGUGGGCUAGACUAAGCCUGGAGUGCUGUGAGUGGAGCUCAGUGGGUGAUUCUGGAAGGUGCUCAGAAGACCAGAAUGCAGAUAUGAAUGCAGACAGUAAAGUCUAUGCUGAUGAGGUUUCAGGUGGGAAUGGGGACUUUGCCAGUAACUGGAGUAGAGGCCUUCAUGUUACAUGGCAAAGAGCUUGUCUACAUUUGGACGAUGCCUUCAGACUUGGUGGAGGCUAAGUUUAAACAUUAUAGACUAACUAAUCUGGUGGAGCAAAAUUCUAGGUGGUAUUCAGGCAUUGGCAUGGGUAUUGCUGGCUGCUUUUAGCCACAUUUAUGUGAAUGGAAAUUUAGCAGAGCAGAAAGAUUUCAAAAAACUUCAGUUUGGUCAGAAAAGGAGGGCACUUAAAGUUGGGCCAGAGUGUGUGGAGACUAGUGCCAUUAAAAAAAGAACCAAACACUUUGCACCAAGACAAAGGAAAGAUGCCUUGAGGGCAUCUCAGGAAUCAACAAGACCUCAUCUAUCAACACAUAGAGCAGCUUGAGAAUUGUUGGCCCAGGAUUUCAUUUCCCUGUGUUCAGCUGUCCGGUCUCUUUGAGACCACAGCUGCCAUGGUACAAGGGGGCCCAGUGACUGCCUCUGCUGGCAGCAGAUCUUGUGUCAUGUGCAUGGUGCAGGUUUUACAAGCCUGCUGAAUGCAAGAGUUGUGGGGUCACACAGGCAUCCAACGAGCUUUCAGGGGAAGGCCUGGGAGGCCUGGCAGUGUGGGAGUGUCAGAGUCCCAGGAAAUGACCCCUGAGAGACCAAUACGUAAGGCUGUGAGAGUGAAGCUGGAGCUGCAGUGGAGACCCCAGGAAGAUAAAGAUGCCGUAAUCCAAGAGUGUGCAAAGCCAGCCCGAGAGUGUGCCAUGGGGGCUGCAGCCAUUGAGGAUGUAGGGGUGGAGCUGCCUAAAACCUAGGGGAACACAUGAGGGCCAUGUGCACCAAAUGUUGAACACAGCUGCAGGAUUUAGUGUUUGCCCUGCUGGGCUUUGGUCUUCCUUUGGUCUGGCUCUGCCUUGCUGUUUUGCUUGUCCUCUCUUCUAGAAUGGGGAUGUUCCCACUCUAUCGUCACAUGCUAGAAGUAUGGAACUUUCUGACUUUUACAGGGGCUUCCAGCAGAAUGUGCUUUUCACCUCUGAGAAGACUCUGGCUUUGGACUCUUGAGCAAUGCUGGAACUGGACUGAAUGCAUUUGACAUUGGUGGCUUCCUCUGUUCUUGCUCCACACCAUGGUGAGCUGCUUUGCCACAGUUCCAAUGCAGAUGGCUGACCAGGUGUGACCAGAUGCUGAAGCCACAAACCCAUAAGCCAGACCAAACUUCCUCUUGGCAAGCUAUUAUCUCAGGUAUUUUGUCACACUGACAGGAAGCUGACUAGUACUACUGCAGAAAGCAGGAAGCUCAACCAGAAGAAGAAGCAGAGAUAUGCGAAGGUCUUGUCAAAAAGAAACAAAUAAAUAUAUUGAUAGAGUGGAACAGACAUUGGCUGCUGAUAAUAGUGACUGGUGAUCAACACCACUCAUUAUCAGGAAAACACAAAUCAAAACCCAAGGAGAUGCAGCCACACACUUGUUAGGAUGGUGAAGAUGCAGAGAGACUGUGACCCUAGUGCUGUGCCCAUGUGAAUGGAAGAUGGGGCAGCCAGUGUGGAAAACAGCAUGGAGGGUCCUCAAAGAAACAGAAAUGGAUCUGGUUCUCCCACUGUCCCUGCCAUGGGUCCCAGCAGCCCUGGCAGUGGGAGGAGCGGCAGUAGCCGAGCAGCAUAGCUCUUCCAGGCUCUGGUGCUUUGCAGCCUGCAGCUUCUGCACAAACCACCCCCUACCCCCACCCCGCCAAUGCCAAGAUGCCCAAGAGGAAGGUCAGCUUGGCGAGGUUGUUGGCUAAACCUGCUCCUGCAAAAGCGGAAAGGAAGCCAAAAAAGCGGGAAAGGAUCAAUCUUUGGACAAAAAAGUAUAAGCAAAAGGGAAAAGGAGAGCAAAAGGAAAACAGGACAAGUGCCUAAACAGAAACUACAGAAGAAACUCGGAAAACGGUAAGACUAAAACACGAGGAGAAUGCAGCCUCUGAUGAAGCAAAAGAGAAAGAAGCCAAGUCUGAUUAAUCAUACGGCAUGUCUUAUCAGUGCUCCCUGUCUCCCUUCUUGUACAAUCCAGAGGCAUACUUUUAUCAACUAUUUUGUAAAUGCAAAUUUUUCAGUAGCUCUAGAAACAUUUUUUAAAAGGAGGGAAUCCCACCUCAUGACAUUUUUAAAAGUGUAAAUGAUUUUUUUAGAGGUGAAAUCAUUUACUGGUUGUUUAUUUUUGGUACAACCAGAAAAUAGUGGGAUAUUGAACUAUGGCAGGCUUUGACUGUCUCAGGUGUCAGUUUAACAUUCCAUAGGUGGG
This 2869-nucleotide long non-coding RNA is filed under the name Heterocephalus glaber (naked mole-rat). RNAcentral describes it as "lncRNA (ENSHGLG00000050963.1)". Lineage: Eukaryota; Metazoa; Chordata; Mammalia; Rodentia; Bathyergidae. The record is from RNAcentral.